GAGAGCCUGCGUCGGAUAGCUUGUUGGUGGGUAAGGCAUACCAAGGCGACGAUCCGUAGCUGUCUGAGAGGACGACCAGCCACACUGGGACUGAGACACGGCCCAGACUCCUACGGGAGGCAGCAGUGGGGAAUAUUGGACAAUGGGCGCAAGCCUGAUCCAGCAAUGCCGCGUGUGUGAAGAAGGCCUUCGGGUUGUAAAGCACUUUCAGUCUUGAAAAAGGGGAGCUGGCUAAUAUCCAGCUUCAUUGAUAUUAGAGACAGAAGAAGCACCGGCUAACUCUGUGCCAGCAGCCGCGGUAAUACAGAGGGUGCGAGCGUUAAUCGGAAUUACUGGGCGUAAAGGGUGCGUAGGUGGUUGAAUAAGUUAAUUGUGAAAGUCCUGAGCUUAACUUGGGGAUUGCAGUUAAUACUGUUCAGCUAGAGUGUUGUAGAGGUAAGCGGAAUUUCUGGUGUAGCGGUGAAAUGCGUAGAUAUCAGAAGGAACAUCAAUGGCGAAGGCAGCUUUCUGGACAAAUACUGACACUGAGGCACGAAAGCGUGGGUAGCAAACAGGAUUAGAUACCCUGGUAGUCCACGCCGUAAACGAUGAGAACUGGUUGUUGGGUGCGCGAGCAUUUAGUAACGAAGCUAACGCGUUAAGUUCUC
RNAcentral lists this ribosomal RNA (647 nucleotides) under uncultured bacterium. RNAcentral describes it as "bacterial SSU rRNA". It matches the Rfam family "Bacterial small subunit ribosomal RNA", at positions 225 to 869 of the family's 1533-position model. The record is from RNAcentral.